This 379-nucleotide unclassified non-coding RNA is filed under the name uncultured Gammaproteobacteria bacterium. RNAcentral describes it as "contains 16S-23S intergenic spacer region". Lineage: Bacteria; Pseudomonadati; Pseudomonadota; Gammaproteobacteria. The record is from RNAcentral.
UCCAGCUUAUCACUGGCAGUCUUACUAGAGUCCCCGGCUUUACCCGCUGGCAACUAGUAACAAGGGUUGCGCUCGUUACGGGACUUAACCCAACAUCUCACGACACGAGCUGACGACAGCCAUGCAGCACCUGUCUCUUGGUUCCUUUCGGCACACCCCUAUCUCUAAAGGCUCCCAAGCAUGUCAAGGGUAGGUAAGGUUUUUCGCGUUGCAUCGAAUUAAACCACAUGCUCCACCGCUUGUGCAGGCCCCCGUCAAUUCCUUUGAGUUUUAGCCUUGCGGCCGUACUCCCCAGGCGGAGAACUUAUCGCGUUUGCUUCGACACCCAUCGGCUUCUGCCAAUAAAUAUCUAGUCCUCAUCGUUUACAGCGUGGACUAC